AAUUAUAAUGUACAUAAGAAAAUUUCUGUUUCGAACAGUUCUGAGAAAAAUUGUGAAAGGCAAUACAUAUCGGUUCAUUGAGAAAGCAAAGGAGAGAUGAAGUUAUCAUUUGGUUCUUAUCAUUGGCAGUUUGCGUCAGGCCAGGGUCAAAGUCGGUGAUCUCGAACAAUAAAUCAUAUUUUAUCGUACGAAAACGUAAAUUAUUCGCGCGCUUAUUCUUACAAUGACCUGCGCAAUCGUUUAAUAAUUAAUUUUAAAAAACUACACUUACAACUGAGCAGUAAUACCAAAUUAAUUGUUAAAUUACUGAAAACUUUUGCCUACACGGAACUAGUGACUUUUUAUUUUAGAACAGUUGAUGCACUUGAAGUGUGAUAUAAAGACAACUUCAGGACUUACGAACAGUUUUACAGCGCGUCUAACGCUUCAAUCUUUCUUAUUUAUAUAAUUAUAAAUAGUUUUGAAUAAAAAAUAAGAGAAUAAUUUAUUUGAAUCAUUAUUGAUUCCAAUAUUGUAUCAAUCAAGGACCAUUAAUGUUUUCUAUGGCAAUGCGUGCGUAUUCUAUCUGUAAAAGAAAUGCAUCCUGCUUAUUUUUACAACUGUUAACCGGAUUGACCACUGAAAAGGGUCUUUUUUUUUCUGAUGAAAGUCUCGAGAUAGUGACGGACGUGAAGUAAAGACUGCAAGUUUGCGUUUCAUUGAAGAACAUCAGACUAGACGAGAAUCUAGAUUAUGGAUAUAUUGAGGAUGAUCGGAAAUAGUGUUGUCUGAUGAAAUACAUCUCCAACUUACAACAAAUUUCACAUCUCGUCCGAUGUGAGCGACGGUUGAUUCAAGGCACGUGGGAAGAUUAAACGCGUGCAUUCUCAUCACAAUACUACUAGAAAGAAGAAAUAAUUGAAGAUCGGAUCAUUAUAUCGGAGAGAGGAGACGUUAACACUGAAGGGUGCGGAUCUUUUGGAAACAUCGUGACAUUGAAGGAAGUGAUUUACUGAAUUUGAGGAUAUAUUCAAAAGAUCAAUAAUAAUAAAAAAAAAAUGAAAAAAAGAAUUUAAGUAUCAUCAACAUCAGGACACCCAAAGUGCAUAUAUUUAUUCGCGCAAAUGUAUUAAUUUUAAUAGGGGAUCACCUUUUUUAUAAUACACACACGCGGCAUUUACGUCAUCGUCCACUCCGAGAUUCCAAGGUUUUAUUACUUCUGAUGACACCCCGUUAUCGCCUGCGUUAUAUAUAUAAUAUAAUACCACCCAUAUGGGACGGCAUUUUAAGUUUCGCUCUUCGUUAUAUUCGACAAGAUAUCGUUGCGUGCGUCAAUUUCAAUUAAGAAACUGACCGCCCUGCUAAAUAGUUUCCUUUCGAAAGGAUCAGAUUUAGGUCCCGAAUGACGUCAUAAUAUUUCGAGGAACCAACGAGAGAAAGAGAGGAGAAAGAGAGAGAGAGAAAGAGAUUUGUGUAAAAGAUGAGAAGAUAAAGAUCGUAGAUCUUUUUUGAAAUCGGUUUAGAUAUAAUUGAAUGCAUUAAAUACUAAUUCUUUAUCUAUGUGUGUGUGUAAUACACCUUGACAUAAUUUAUGAACUUUUUUUUUAUAUUUAAUAUAUGUUUAUAGAGUUUUUUUUCAGUAAUCCUAAAGACGUCAAUGGAAAUAGAUAAAUGAUAAAUUAUUUUACAUUAUCAAGAAUUGUCAAAAUUUGAAGGAUAAGAAAAAGGAUAAUGAAAAAAUAGUAUUUGUUUCCUGAGGACAAUAUUGUGUGUGUCUUUUUUUUUUAUCAUCUUCGCAUAAAUAUUUUUCAAGGUUUAAUAACAUCUUUAUGUCAUUAUAAUGACAACUUAAGCGCGCGCAGGUGAAUGUACUUUAGAGAGGUCAAAACAAUUCGAUAGAGAGGUUUAAUUUAUCGCACGUUUCACGCAUUCCUAAUGAGAAUUUAUAAUACAUACUUCCGAAUGAAAUUCCACAUCGAUAUCAUCACUAUUAUAAUGAAACAAAAACUGACCACAGACUGAAUGAAAUAGAUUUUAUAUUUCGAUAAAGAAGAAUUUGCCUUCAAUAAAUAAUAAUACAGAAAGGAGAUUUUUUUGGAUAAAGAAAAAAAAAAAAAAAAACGAAUAUUAGGGAAUGAAUUUCCCAAAAGUGUAAUCGUGAGAGGAUACAUCUUUUAAAAAUGUUGGUUUUCGUCUGGCAAUUACUGCGAGCAUAUACCAGCCAGACGAUUUUCUGAGAAGACGGGAAACGAUUUCACGUCGAGUAAAAUUUUCUUGGCAAUAAGAGUAGCCAAUUGCGUUGCGUAAGGCAAAACAUGGGUCCGUGGUCCACACGCCGGUAUUUUAUGCUCUUUUGCCAAAACAUUUAUCAUCGCAAAAACCCUUUUUUCUUUUUUUUCUUUCAAAAAAUGAUUUCAAAAUCAUAUAUUUAUUUUAUAUUAAUUUUUAUAUGAAAACAUUUUUUAUUUUAUUCAUUUUUAAAUAAAAUUUAUUUAAAGCAAAUAAUAUAUUAGAGUCUAUAAUAAUUUUUUAUUUAUAUUUUAAAUAAAAAAUAGAUUUUAAUUGAAGUUUAAACUGUUGAAAAAUAAUGACCAAAAUAUAAGUUAGAGAAAAGAGAAAGGAAAAAAAAAAGUGAUCAAGAAUAAGACAUAGUCUGCACGAGCAUCAAUGAUGAGAUUGCAUAUAUGAAUCGUUUUAAAUGCAUUCAGUGGUGCAUACGUGAUUAAUAUCACGUCAACAUUUUAAUACAGCCUCACAAAGAGUACAUUUAAAUGAGAGUAUACGCGUAAAAUUUAGUAUAACAGCCUUCACGUGCCAUAGGACACAAAACCGUCUGACGUAAACCAGUUUCAUCCAUUCAUUGAAUCAGAUUUUCGCAAAUAUGGAUAACGUUUUAUGUAUAAUUAAUGUUCGCGCAAUUAUUUAUAUGCUGUCCGAAUGAGCUAUUAAGUUCACCUUCAGACCACCCAUGAGAAUAUUUAAUCCUCUGGAGCAUUUUAUUAAGAGAGCGAGAGAGAGAGAGAGGAGAGAAAAUUAUUUAGUCGUAUAUACAUUUGGUUCGUCAUCAUCAUCAUCGUGUGUGAGGCGUGCGAGACUGAUUGGUCUCGGUACGCGGCUCGGGCGCGUGCAACGAUAAGGUCGCUUAGGGCAGACAGCGCGACGCCGUUUAUUUGCGUCUCGACGGCCAACACACAGGUGUUUGAAUCCAGCGUUUAUACUGAUUCGAGAACUGAAAAAGCCUAACCAUUUUCUUUUCUAUUUUUUUUUCCUAAAAUAAAAAUCAUCUUUUGUUAAAAUCACGAAAUUAUAAUUCAUUUCUUACUUAAAAUCUUUUAUAAAAUUAUAUUUGAAAUUAUAUAAAGUAAAAAAUUAGUAUAAAAAUGUUUAAAAAAAAAAAAAAUUAUUGUUUAUUCAAAAAAAAAAAUGUAAUAAUUUUCUCUCUCUCUCUCUCUCUUUCUUUUAACAAAAAGAAUGAGAAAAUUAUGAAUCAGAGACAUAAUUUACAAGGUCUAGACUCGCGGAUGAUACACAAAACUUUUAUGCACAUAUUUUAUUAGACUAUUUUAUAUUAUACGGGGAAUGAAAAUUUUUAUCGACAAACACUUCAAUUUCAGAUUUCGGCAAAUAUAAUAAUUAUUUUCGUUUAUGCGUUAGCAAUAUAAAUUUAUAGAGAUUUUUAAAAUUAUAUGUAUUUUCAAUAAGAAUUAUAGUUGUUUGUGAAAACAGCAAGAUUUUUUUUUUAUAUAUAUUUUC
Molecule: long non-coding RNA, 3732 nt
Organism: Leptopilina boulardi
Lineage: Eukaryota; Metazoa; Arthropoda; Insecta; Hymenoptera; Figitidae
Exons: 8
Source: RefSeq, a predicted model, not a curated record